Molecule: transfer RNA, 72 nt
Filed under: Cordylochernes scorpioides
Lineage: Eukaryota; Metazoa; Arthropoda; Arachnida; Pseudoscorpiones; Chernetidae
Description: tRNA-OTHER
Source: RNAcentral
CGCCCGAGCAGGGGCACGAACCCUGGACCGUUAGGUUGAAGCCUAACGCUCUACCGACUGAGCUAGCAAGGC